This 120-nucleotide ribosomal RNA is filed under the name uncultured bacterium. Its description in RNAcentral is "partial 16S ribosomal RNA". It matches the Rfam family "Bacterial small subunit ribosomal RNA", at positions 796 to 914 of the family's 1533-position model. The record is from RNAcentral.
CUAGCUGUAAACGAUGUAGACUUGGCGUUGGCGGAGUUAAAUCUGCCAGUGCCGGAGCAAACGCGUUAAGUCUACCGCCUGGGGACUACGACCGCAAGGUUAAAACUCAAAGGAAUUGAC